Molecule: RNase P RNA, 391 nt
Filed under: Acidocella sp.
Lineage: Bacteria; Pseudomonadati; Pseudomonadota; Alphaproteobacteria; Acetobacterales; Acidocellaceae
Description: RNase P RNA component class A
Rfam family: Bacterial RNase P class A
About the family: Ribonuclease P (RNase P) is a ubiquitous endoribonuclease, found in archaea, bacteria and eukarya as well as chloroplasts and mitochondria. Its best characterised activity is the generation of mature 5'-ends of tRNAs by cleaving the 5'-leader elements of precursor-tRNAs.
Source: RNAcentral
CCAGACGGUUGGACGGCCGCUGGCGGGGCAACCCGCUGGAGGAAAGUCCGGGCUCCACGGAAAUACGGUGCCGGCUAACAGCCGGCGGGGGCGACCCCAGGGACAGUGCCACAGAAAACAAACCGCCGCGGCUUGUCCGGGGUAAGGGUGAAACGGUGCGGUAAGAGCGCACCGCAACCCUGGUGACAGGGUUGGCAGGGUAAACCCCACCGGGAGCAAGACCGAAUAGGGGCGGCCGGCGUUGUAUCUCAGGAUAUGAACGCGGGGGUAUUUUCGACCCGCCGCCCGGGUUGGUCGCGUUGAGGCGGGCCGCAAGGUCCGUCCCAGAGGAAUGGCCGUCCAGCAUCGUUAAAGAUGUGGACAGAACCCGGCUUACAGACCGUCUGGAUAU